Podarcis muralis (Common wall lizard) is the source of this 1561-nucleotide non-coding RNA. The record is from RefSeq and is a predicted model, not a curated record. NCBI's taxonomy places the organism in Eukaryota, Metazoa, Chordata, Lepidosauria, Squamata, Lacertidae.
CUCUGUACUGCUGGAAAAGACAGAAAUAAAGGCAUGUAAAUACAUUUCUGUCUGUCUCUUUCCCCUCCCUGGGAAACCUUGCACUUAACAUGAGUAACUUCUUUCCUGCAAUUUCUUAGGUGGAAAUAACAAAUAUUGGAAAGGAAGAAACGAGGUACACCUUUUCCCUCAAACUUUUGGAGGAGGUUAAAGUGGGAAAUCCCAAGGGAGAUUUUGCUUAUCCGAGCUUCAAUUCAGCAGGAUCAGGUGCUUAAGGCGCCUCUUCAGACGCUGCAACAGGGUGGCCCCCCAGCAAGGCCCAGAGCAGCCCGUGGCACCAGCUGCUGAAGGAAGAUCAGCUGUACCUGCUGGAGGUGAUCCAGAACUGCCAGGCAGCUCAGCUCAGGGGGCUCUGAACCCCAAAGUGCUCCAAGCAGGAGGUGGCCAAAGCCAUCCUGAUGAAACAGACAUGAAGAUGACAUUCGCCCACUUUGCAUACCGCCUUGUAUACUUGCUUCAUGAACAACAACUGCAGCUUAACGUGAACAAGCGGCAUUCGUUGGAACUUCCCUUCCUGGAGCCUGGCUCCCUCCUUGGGGUCUUUGGCCGGCAGGUCAAGACUUCCUUGUCCCAAGAGGCUUUGGGGAAGUGAUGGCUUCGCAUGAAAGCACUGGUGACAUGCUGCCUCUAUGGGGAUGUUCUAAAUGCUUACAAUAUACCAGGUUAAAUGCACAGCAUUGGAACAGUUAGAACAAAGUCUGUAUCAGGAAUCAGGAUUUUUUUUACGUCACAAGCAACUGGCAUUCAGAUGCAUCGCGUCCUCCCCAUGUGGAGGCAGAGAAGAGCCAUUCUGGCGAGAGCGAACCCUCUCACCUGCAGAGCCACAGGGAGAUCCGUCAAUCACCAGGAGAGCGUCUGCUUCCCAUGCAGGUCUGGUGCUCAGCAACUCCAGGCCGGGGGCUGGAGAGACUCCCUGCCUGAGACCCUGAAAAGCCACCGCAGCCACUGCGGUCCACCUCUAGGUUAAGGUGUCGUUCGGCUCAGCCUAAGGCAGCUUCUUCUGCUCCUGAGCUUCCUGGUGGAGUUUUGCAAGCAGCUGCAUCCUGCGCAGAGCAUCGCUCUGAGGCCACCUGGCUGAGCGGGAAGCAGCCUUUAUGGUGUCUCUGUGGAGAACGAGGGAGGGGGCAUCUCAAGGGGCUGUUCAGAGACAUUUUCCAUCCCAAACAGGUCCAUUGCGCCAAGGUAUGCCCAGCUGUGGGGCAUCUCUCCAAGGCCACUGGGUCGGGGGACAAUGGACAGCAUUAAUCAUUGAGUCCCUCCAGCACAGUGCUGCCCCCAGGGUUUGAUGACCACUGGGCUGGGGAAUCUGUGGCCCUCCGGGUAUCCAUGCAACCCAUCUCCCAUCAUCUUUGACCAUGAGCUGUGCUGUUUGGGACUGAGUUAAGUCAAAGCCAUGGCAAAUGGCCACCCAACCACUGCUUUAAAACCUCCAAGGAAGGAGAGUUCCACUGCCAAACAGCUCUUAAUCCAGCAAAAGCGUGUGCAUUUAGGGUUCACUAGAUUCCUCACGCGGGUGGCGCUG